GACAUUAUUAUUAUUAUUAUUUUUGAUGAUUGCCAAGGAUGAAUUUUGGAUUGCGCGUCAGAUCAAGUGUACCUAAUAAAGCGGCUGAUGCUUCAGUUGUACUUGGGCAUUCGGUUUCCACCAAGGCAAAAUAAACACGCCGGAAAAGGCGACCGGUGUGCCAAGAUUUCAUCAGCAACUCCCCAAAUUGGUGAGAUUAGCAUUUAAAACAGAGCGAUGACCGUCCUCCAUCUUGUGUCAGCUAAGAUGACGAAGGCCUCCGGGGUGAUUUUGUAUUUCGCCUUGGAAAGGUGUGUGAGGGCACGCGUGUAAAAGUGAAGGUGGGCUGCCUGUGUUUAGUGUCCAAAAGCUGGCAGAUUGUGACCUUAUCAAUGUGAAACUCUUAAGAUAAAUUAUUCAUAACACCUGUUUGAUGUGUCUGGCCAAAGAAUGACAAUUUAAGAAUGUAACUCGACACAAGGGGCCGUUUGAUUUCUUUCUUUUAUUUAUUUAUUUUUUUUAGCGGACUUAAUCAGGUGGGAUGCUGCUGGCAGAACAAACAUUUAAUUAAAAACGUGUUUAUUUUACAGGGUGUAUUGAAGCAACGCGCCAGUCUUUCACAGUCGAGUCUGAAAGUAACCCGAUAUACAAGGCGGUGAGCAACAUGGCUGCCCGGUGUUUUGAAGCACGGAGGGGAUGUGUCAGUGUGGCGCAAGGACCGACGCGGGGGCGAGAUGGACUUUAUGGCUACGGGCUGUGAGCUAGCGGCACGGUGAAGUGGCUCUGUAUUUCUACGCCCACCAGAUAUCAAAGGUCUGCAUUUUAUGAAGAACACACGGCUCGGUUUUGACUGACACUGUCGGAGUCGUCGUUAUUGCGAAAUAUGUUGAUGAUUGUGGUUGUUCUGACAUCGACUAACAGCUGUUUGGACUAUGAUUUUUAAAUUGGUACAACCACAAAAACAAACCAAAAAAAAAACCCAAAAACUUUGCUACAGUAAAUGAAUAAGAGUAAUAAGGGUGGACGGAUGUGGGCACGCUUGGGUUCUGAUUGUACAUUGCACUAGUUUAAGUAACACCCAAAAUGUUUUCUAAUCAAUGUGAUAUUGUUACAAAUAUGAAUCGUGUGAGACUAAUGAAGGCAAAACAUUCUCACAGAAUCCUUAUAUGUGUUUACUUCAUUUCUCUCUCUCUCCCUCUUGCUCCAUUUCUCCAUGUCAUCAGCUUCUCUCAGAUGUUCCCUGUGACCUUUGACCUCAGAGUCGGGGUCAAGCCCUGACAAAUGGGAUGGCCGAGUUCUGACCACAAGCGCCAACAUUCCACAACAAUCUCUCGUCCUCCUCCACUCGCCUCGUAUCCGUGAUAUGUCACCGGGCACUACACUCCCCCCCCACUUUUACGCCGAGCCUCUUCCACGGGCCGGGUAAAGUUCUCAUUAGAACAACAUCGUUUAUUGGGAGUGCUGUGGGAAUCUUUAAACGAAUACAUUUUGGAAUUAAGGAUUACAACAUGAGCUAAAAUUUAAUUUCCCCUAAACAUCCCGCUUGUUUAGACAAGGGGAAGAAAACAAAACGAUCGAGUGGAUAUUACGACCUAGCUCGCCAUGUGAAUGUGUGUGUGUGUGUGUGAGAAAAGCUUGUCAGUGAUGUCAAGGAUGAGAAAUGUUGCAGUGUGGUUUUUACACACACUGCUGGCUCGAGCAUUUCCGGCAACAUUUCUCACUCUGCCUCCCUCGCAGCAUCCACUCUGCUGCAAUAUCCCCACAUUUUUCUAUCGUUUCACAUCAACCCCCACCGGAUCCUCUGCCCCCCUCCCCCCGGCCCCCCCCACACACACUCCACUCAACUGCAAGCCCCCCCCCAUCCGCCCUUUCCUCACAGGCCUCCUCUGGUCAUUCUGUCUCCUUUUCCUCAUGUCUGCUGCCCCAUCUUCACCCAACGUCAACCCUACCCCCCCUUUUAUUUCCCAUCUCAUUCGCUUCCUUCUCCUCCUUCUCCCUCUGCUCAUCUCGCCUCCCGCCGCACGCUCAGAUUUUCUAACAUGCCAUCCCAAAGCGUGCAAACACCUGCAACUGUUUAAGGGUAUAAUAAAUGUCAUCCUGCACGAGGAAGCUAGUUAAGGUAAGUGGCACAUCGCAUACGGCGGUGACGUGGCAAAUAAUGACUUCCGUCGUCGUGUUUGUGUAUGAACGUUCCUUACGGCAUGACUCUGGUUUCCCAAAACGUUAACCCUCUCUUCGAAGUUGGAGUCGCACCACACACGGCUCUAAUAAAAACAACGACGUUCAAUCUGGAGGGGCGUCACUAAAAGAAGCCGAGGCGCAGUAUGAAAAGCAACUGCGAUCCAAAUAAAAAGCUCAAUCUCUUCAUGUGAAUUUGUUCUUUUUCCAUUGUCGGAAUCGUGCUCUCAUUUUAUAUCGUGAGCGUCAUCGGAGGCUAUGCCGAUCUUGGCCUGGUAAGGAAUGUUUCCUCAAAGGCUUGCUGAUGAAUCUAAAAUCUAACGUGGCGAGCAAUGGUUGCAGCGUACGAAGGGUUGGGUCUCUAUUAAAAGGAUAAAUGCUUGAGGAUUAUUUUUUUUUUCUCUGGGCCUUGAGAUCCCCGUCACAUCUGGAUAUCGCUACGAAUCAGGAAUGCCAUGGAGUCCAUAUUUGAAAUGAGUUUCACUUUGCAAUAAAAACGUAGCGUACACAAGGGUCUUCUUGAGUUUGUUGUUUUCCUUACCGUUCAAUCAGCGCAGGUUUUCUCAUUUUCAGUUUUUCACGCCUGCAUUCCCAAAAGCUGCGAAGGGAAACCAAAAAAACUCAUCAGUACUUUACGAACACUCGCGAGCAUCCUAACAACAUCAAAAGACUUCAGCACAGUGUGGUUCAGCGAAUUGGUUGAUGUUGAGCCGUCAUAACCGACGCAAGAACCGCGGUCUUAUGCUUGCAAGUAAAGGAAAAAAUACAGAGAAGCAAGAAAACAAGAGUUCUCCAUUGUCAUCCUCCAUUUAGUCUUCCUUGUUCCUCUUGUUGAGGACACCCCCGCGGUAUGAUGUCACACUAUUUACAUAGCAGAUGCAGCCACUGGGAGAAAGUGCUGGGAACGCAAGCUAGGUCAAGGUUUACUAUUCGAAAUAGCAUCAAAUGAAUACCACGUUUGGUCAAAACGAUUGAUUUUGAUUUCCAGUUCUUCCUCAUUUUUUUUUUUUAAGUGCUUGUUGUCGGGCAUUCAUGGUUAGCUUCCUGCACGCACGUCCAGUGGACAUAAGCGACGAGGCGCCGCAAACAAAUUCCCACCGACAGCCAUCAGCUUGAAGUCGGAGGCGCAAGUGAGCGGCAGACAAACGUGUAGGGGGGGGAAAAGGCGUACAGGCAAAUGUCUAAGCUAUAGCCGUGACACCAUUAGCAGAUUCUGUUUGUGUCACUGCCUCAAGCCUCCAGCUCUCCGUGUCCACGGGCGGCUGAAAGAUGUUGAAAAACGAAAAAGAAAAAGUCUUCAAAGCUCCUUGAUUCCUUGCCACCACCCACGGUUACGGCUAUGUUUUGGAGUGUGGAUGUCUGCCCUGGUCCCGCAGGGCAUCGGCCCCACUUUACCCCACCCCUUCGCAACCAACAAGCGCACCCCACCCCCCACCUCCCUCCCCUCCCUUCCCACCCGCCUUUCCCGACCCCCAGUCUCUCUCCAUCCUCCUGCCUCACUCACUGAUUCAGUGCGUAAAAGCGCCCCCUGAAUGAUGGAUUACUGUGUCACCGCAGCCUGCGAAGGAUUAAUUUGUUUCAUUGAUUUCUCUUUAGGUAGAAUGCCAGCGUCUGCCGUUUCCCACCUUUUCCUCCAAGACUCACAGCUGUAAUAGACGGUAAUGGCUUAAGACAAAUCAACCCAUUUCUUGUAAAAAUAGCAGCGAAUCACCCUCCCCGUCGACCAGCCGGCACUCUACUCACGUACGGGCGAAGGGGUGGUGCUAUGGCGUACCGAGGGCUUCUCCAUUCCCCUUGAUCUCGACCACCCCAUCUGGCAUUGAGUGCACGCCGCCGUCUCCCCACCGCUGCCGAACCAGCGGAGACCUUCCUGCCACUCUGAGGUAGCCGUAAGUCUGUCGUACUUACACAUCCCUCCCAGGUCUCACAAUGGAUGGGUAAUGACAGCGCCGUCUGGGAAAAGGGGGGGAAGGCGGUCGGCCCAUUCUCGCCACUAAUGGAAGCGGUUACCGCUAUUCCCGACACACCUGCGGGAACAGCAAACUAUUAACCAGCGUGAUCUAUGGUAAGGCCUUAGUGCACGAGCUGGAAAGCGUGCGCUGACGCUGAUGAAUCGGGGCACGUCCGACCGGCAUCUUUUUUCGGUGGCCGGUGGCUUCACGUUAGUCGUAUGUGUGAAGAAAAGCCAGUCAUUUCGAAACAAAUACGUGAUAUCAUGGCUCACAAGCAAAGCGAGCCGUACAAGGCAGCUUUCCUGACAUCUGCUGAUUUAGCGCGGCCAUAAGAUGCUACUACAUCUUUACUAGCCUGUCGCUACUUUGAACGAUGGGAAACCCAAAGUGGCGGUAACAUUAAGCACAGCACUACAGGCUAACUGUCCUCAAACGGUUUCCAAUCCCAAGGAGAUUUAUGAGCAAGACCAGAUCCAUUAAUCCAUUGUCGAUUUGCUGUGGCUGCCCUGCGGGGCAUUUUGGUAUCAGAUAUCAUAGCAGGGUAACACCGUGACUCUUGUUAAAAUGUUCUACCCAACCAGUUUGGAGACUGUAGAAGUGUAAAGUGUAGUCUAUUGCUUGAAAUUGCUAAUGUCCUAAUAAUAUUCCUGUGCGUCCAUGAAAUAUACAUCGUUUAAACCAGGGGUGUCAAACUCAUUUUUUGUCGCGGGCCAUUUCGGAGUUAACGGCUUCCCUCGGAGGGCGGGUGCAAAAUCUCAACGUUAUUUAUUACCCAUGACAAUUUGACAUUUCAGUACAGAUUUCGGCAAGAAUCAUGAUACAGUAGUUGACACACAUGAUUUGCUCCUGUGGGCCCACAUAAAAUGACCUAAGGGGCCGGAUCUGGCCCCCAGGCCUUGACUUUGACACCCGUGGUUUAAAUGUAUAUGACCUCACGAGACAAGCCAUUCUCUUCUCUGUUAAACACAAAACUUGUGAAUACCAUUCUCUCAUAAAUGACGAAUGAAUGACAGACUUCAACCCGGGAACGGCUGCGCAACCUUAACGCAAAUACCUAUCUCUCAGAAUUUAGGCGGUGACAUCGUUCAACAUCCGUGAUAAUAACCUCCGCUGCAAGAUAAUCUCAUCGGCUCCUUGCGAUCAAUGCAGCCGUGUCUCCAAAGCUUUGGGCUGCGGCUUAUGCUUGGCAAUAGACAACUGGUCAUCCCGGUGUUCUGCCACAUGCCCGUGCAAAGACAGCUUCUCCUGGGGCUUGUUCAACGAAGGGUACAUCUAUUCUCAGGGGUCCCCAUGUUCUGAAGUGCCUCCAGAAAAGCUUCGUUGGCAGGCUGGCCUUCCUGACCAGGAUCUGAAGCCAGAUCUCCCUGCCCCUAAUCAGGAGGACAACCCACUGAUCCAUGCAGCCACCACCAAUGUUUUCCAAAAGUGUUCUCCUUCAGUACACCUGUUCAAAAUGGUGGCCACCUUCAACUCUGGGCCUAAAUAAAGAAAACAACCUUGGACAAAAGCAACCCGAUCUUCUCAAAAUCCACCCAUCUACCCAGCGAGUGAAGUUGGAAACCAAAACAACAAUUUUUAGCGUGAACUUAUCAAGAACUGCAAGAAUAGGUGGAAAAACCGUUUGGCGAAAUGCGAUCCAUUUUACCGGGCCGACGACAUGCGCCAGAGUGCGUGUAAAGAGCAUUCUCCUCGGUGAAUUGUGUUUUCUUGCACCUCUGCAGACAUUACAGAUUAUAAAUGAUUGAGGCGUGGAUGGCUGUCUUUACUCGAGUGAGGAUCAUUUUUUCCCGAAGCAAGGCAAUCCCAGAACGGAGGGAGGAAUGUCAAAAAGAAAUUUGCAUGCGUAGUUACUCCCAUAUCCACGCGCGUACAGUACAGCGGCGAGAGGGAGAGCGCUGGAGAGAGAGAGAGAGAGAGAGAGAGAGAGAGUGAGACAGGGACCAAUGAGGCAGUUUAUAUCGGGAUUUUGUCUCACAGCCGCGGCCUCCUGGGAGAGAGGGGUCUGCCAAUAACACUUAAGAGACAGAGCAGGAAAAGUAAGUGCUUUUAUUACAGCUCAUCACUCAUGUAAUUUCUGGCAGCAUUUGUGAUUACAGAUCAAGUGAUUGACUAACUACACAUUUGGCAGCUGAGUUAUGAGCCGGGGUUGCCUACCGUUGCAGCCCAGGCAGACAGUGCGCGUCAAGCUGUAACUCAUCCCUCAUCCCGGGGCGCUAAAUCAAAGAACGCACGGCCGCCGGAAGAGUUAAAUCAUAACAUCGUUUCUAUUGUACAUCUGUCAGAAAUUAA
Molecule: long non-coding RNA, 6398 nt
Organism: Hippocampus zosterae (dwarf seahorse)
Lineage: Eukaryota; Metazoa; Chordata; Actinopteri; Syngnathiformes; Syngnathidae
Exons: 4
Source: RefSeq, a predicted model, not a curated record